This 429-nucleotide ribosomal RNA is filed under the name Bacteroidota bacterium. RNAcentral's name for it is "Bacteroidetes bacterium partial 16S ribosomal RNA". It matches the Rfam family "Bacterial small subunit ribosomal RNA", at positions 355 to 776 of the family's 1533-position model. Lineage: Bacteria; Pseudomonadati; Bacteroidota. The record is from RNAcentral.
UAGGGAAUCUUCGGCAAUGGGGGGAACCCUGACCGAGCAACGCCGCGUGAGUGAAGAAGGUUUUCGGCUCGUAAAGCUCUGUUGUUAAGGAAGAACGAGUGUGAGAAUGGAAAGUUCAUACUGUGACGGUACUUAACCAGAAAGGGACGGCUAACUACGUGCCAGCAGCCGCGGUAAUACGUAGGUCCCGAGCGUUGUCCGGAUUUAUUGGGCGUAAAGCGAGCGCAGGCGGUUAGAUAAGUCUGAAGUUAAAGGCAGUGGCUCAACCAUUGUAGGCUUUGGAAACUGUUUAACUUGAGUGCAGAAGGGGAGAGUGGAAUUCGAUGUGUAGCGGUGAAAUGCGUAGAUAUAUGGAGGAACACCGGUGGCGAAAGCGGCUCUCUGGUCUGUAACUGAAGCAGAGGCUCGAAAGCGUGGGGAGCGAACAGG